RNAcentral lists this ribosomal RNA (447 nucleotides) under uncultured bacterium. RNAcentral's name for it is "bacterial SSU rRNA". It matches the Rfam family "Bacterial small subunit ribosomal RNA", at positions 355 to 825 of the family's 1533-position model. The record is from RNAcentral.
UCGGGAAUUUUGGGCAAUGGGCGAAAGCCUGACCCAGCAACGCCGCGUGAAGGAUGAAGUAUUUCGGUAUGUAAACUUCGUAAGAAUAGGAAGAAUAAAUGACGGUACUAUUUGUAAGGUCCGGCUAACUACGUGCCAGCAGCCGCGGUAAUACGUAGGGACCAAGCGUUGUUCGGAUUUACUGGGCGUAAAGGGCGCGUAGGCGGUGACUCAAGUCAGAGGUGAAAGCCUGGAGCUCAACUCCAGAACUGCCUUUGAAACUAGGUCGCUAGAAUCACGGAGAGGUGAGUGGAAUUCCGAGUGUAGAGGUGAAAUUCGUAGAUAUUCGGAAGAACACCAGUGGCGAAGGCGGCUCACUGGACGUGUAUUGACGCUGAGGUACGAAAGCGUGGGGAGCAAACAGGAUUAGAUACCCCUGUAGUCCCUGAGCGGGCUGGCAAGGCGCAU